Molecule: ribosomal RNA, 355 nt
Filed under: uncultured Flavobacteriaceae bacterium
Lineage: Bacteria; Pseudomonadati; Bacteroidota; Flavobacteriia; Flavobacteriales; Flavobacteriaceae
Description: bacterial LSU rRNA
Rfam family: Bacterial large subunit ribosomal RNA
Source: RNAcentral
AAUAAGCUAUUUAAGAGCGUAUGGGGGAUGCCUAGGCUCUCAGAGGCGAAGAAGGACGUGAUAAGCUGCGAUAAGCUGCGGGGAUUGGCACACACAAUUUGAUCCGCAGAUUUCCGAAUGGGGAAACCCACUAUAUUGAAGAUAUAGUAUCCGUUAAGGAGGUAAACCCAGGGAACUGAAACAUCUAAGUACCUGGAGGAAAAGAAAACAAAAGUGAUUCCGUUAGUAGUGGCGAGCGAACGCGGAUUAGCCCAAACCAAAGUUGUUUCGGCAUUUUGGGGUUGUAGGACCACGACAUUGAAUGUUUAAUGAAUUAGAAUUCUUUGGAAAAGAAACCAUAGAGGGUGAUAGUCCC